Molecule: non-coding RNA, 3174 nt
Organism: Azospirillum humicireducens
Lineage: Bacteria; Pseudomonadati; Pseudomonadota; Alphaproteobacteria; Rhodospirillales; Azospirillaceae
Source: Rfam
GAUCAAGCGUCUGAAGGGCAUCUGGUGGAUGCCUUGGCACUGAGAGGCGAUGAAGGACGUAGCACGUUGCGAUAAGCUUCGGGGAGCCGCGAGCAGGCUUUGAUCCGAGGAUUUCCGAAUGGGGAAACCCACCGCUUCGGCGGUAUCCCGUACUGAAUCCAUAGGUGUGGGAAGCGAACCCGGCGAACUGAAACAUCUAAGUAGCCGGAGGAAAGGACAUCAACCGAGACUCCGCUAGUAGUGGCGAGCGAACGCGGACCAGGCCAGUCAUUCGAUCUACAUAACCGGAACCGUCUGGAAAGUCGGGCCAUAGCGGGUGAUAGCCCCGUACGGAUAAACCGGAUCGGAUGCUCGAGUAGGGCGGGGCACGUGAAACCCUGUCUGAACGUGGGGGGACCACCCUCCAAGCCUAAGUACUCCUCAGUGACCGAUAGUGCACCAGUACCGUGAGGGAAAGGUGAAAAGCACCCCGACAAGGGGAGUGAAACAGUUCCUGAAACCGGAUGCCUACAAGCAGUCGGAGCCUCUUCAUGGGGUGACGGCGUACCUUUUGUAUAAUGGGUCAGCGACUUAGAGUAUGCAGCGAGCUUAAGCCGGUAGGUGGAGGCGCAGCGAAAGCGAGUCUGAAUAGGGCGACCGAGUUGCAUGCUUUAGACCCGAAACCUGAUGAUCUAGCCAUGGGCAGGUUGAAGGUGCGGUAACACGCACUGGAGGACCGAACUCACGCCUGUUGAAAAAGUCGGAGAUGACCUGUGGCUAGGGGUGAAAGGCCAAUCAAAUCAGGAAAUAGCUGGUUCUCCGCGAAAGCUAUUUAGGUAGCGCGUCGCGUAUUGCCGCGGGGGGUAGAGCACUGGAUGGGCUAGGGGGGCGCGAGCCUUACCAAACCUAACCAAACUCCGAAUACCCGUGAGCAGAGCGCGGCAGACAGACGGUGGGUGCUAAGGUCCAUCGUCGAGAGGGAAACAGCCCAGACCGCCAGCUAAGGUCCCCAAAUCACGGCUAAGUGGGAAAGGAUGUGGGAAGGCCAUGACAACCAGGAGGUUGGCUUAGAAGCAGCCAUCCUUUAAAGAAAGCGUAAUAGCUCACUGGUCUAGUUAAGCCGGCCUGCGCCGAAAAUGUAUCGGGGCUCAAGCCGUGUACCGAAGCUGCGGAUUCAGAGGACAGAUGUCAGACGACAGACGACAAGACGGUUUAGGGGUGCGGAGCGCCGGGUCUUCGUUCGAGGACCUGGAGGUUUUCCGUAAAGCCUACCGGCUGUCGUUGGAAAUACACCAGAAAAGCCUUGGGUUUCCUGCCAUCGAGCAGGGAGCGCUCGCCGACCAGAUGCGGCGGGCCUCCAAAUCGGUGUGUGCGAACCUGGUUGAAGGCUUUUCCAGACAACAGUGGUCGAAAACAGAGUUCAGGCGAUACCUGCACAUCGCGAUCUCGUCGGCAGACGAGAUGAGGCUGUGGUGCCGCUACUGUCUGGAUCUCGGCUAUGUGGACCAGGAAACAUGGCAGACAUGGCGGGACGGCUUCCAGGAAGUUGCCCGCAUGCUCCAAGGCCUGGGCAAAGCCGAACGCCACUGACGUCUGCCGUCUGGCAUCUGUCCUCUGAGUGGUAGCGGAGCGUUCCGUAAGCCUGCGAAGGGUGCCCGUGAGGUCGCCUGGAGGUAUCGGAAGUGAGAAUGCUGACAUGAGUAGCGACAAACAGUGUGAGAAACACUGUCGCCGAAAGUCCAAGGGUUCCUGCGCAAGGUUAAUCCACGCAGGGUGAGCCGGCCCCUAAGGCGAGGCCGAAAGGCGUAGUCGAUGGGAACCACGUUAAUAGUCGUGGGCCUGGCGGAGGUGACGGAUUGGAAAGCGUGUACGAUCUUAUCGGAUUGAUCGUGCUGUGGACCGGUUCCAGGAAAUAGCCCCGCCAUAUAGACCGUACCCCAAACCGACACAGGUGGACUGGUAGAGUAUACCCAGGCGCUUGAGAGAAUGGUGUUGAAGGAACUCGGCAAAUUGCCCUCGUAACUUCGGAAGAAGAGGGCCCCGUUGUGGCGCAAGCCAUGGCGGGGGGCACAGACCAGGGGGUAGCGACUGUUUACUAAAAACACAGGGCUCUGCGAAGCCACACAAGGCGACGUAUAGGGUCUGACGCCUGCCCGGUGCCGGAAGGUUAAGAGGAGAGGUGCAAGCCUUGAAUUGAAGCCCCGGUAAACGGCGGCCGUAACUAUAACGGUCCUAAGGUAGCGAAAUUCCUUGUCGGGUAAGUUCCGACCUGCACGAAUGGCGUAACGACUUCCCCGCUGUCUCCAACACCAACUCAGCGAAAUUGAACUCUCCGUGAAGAUGCGGAGUUCCCGCGGUCAGACGGAAAGACCCCGUGCACCUUUACUACAGCUUUGCAGUGGUGCUAGGGACUUCAUGUGUAGGAUAGGUGGGAGGCUUGGAAGCAUGGGCGCCAGCCCGUGUGGAGCCAACCUUGAAAUACCACCCUUGAAGUCUCUGGCAUCUAACCGUGGCCCGUUAUCCGGGUCCGGGACCCUGCAUGGCGGGUAGUUUGACUGGGGCGGUCGCCUCCCAAAGUGUAACGGAGGCGCGCGAUGGUGGGCUCAGAGCGGUCGGAAAUCGCUCGUCGAGUGCAAUGGCAUAAGCCCGCCUGACUGCAAGACUGACAAGUCGAGCAGAGACGAAAGUCGGCCAUAGUGAUCCGGUGGCUCCACGUGGACGGGCCAUCGCUCAACGGAUAAAAGGUACGCCGGGGAUAACAGGCUGAUGACUCCCAAGAGUCCAUAUCGACGGAGUCGUUUGGCACCUCGAUGUCGGCUCAUCACAUCCUGGGGCUGGAGCAGGUCCCAAGGGUUCGGCUGUUCGCCGAUUAAAGUGGUACGUGAGCUGGGUUUAGAACGUCGUGAGACAGUUCGGUCCCUAUCUGCCGUGGGUGUCGGAGUUUUGCGAGGAUCUGUCCCUAGUACGAGAGGACCGGGAUGGACAUACCUCUGGUGCACCGGUUGUCACGCCAGUGGCAUGGCCGGGUAGCUAAGUAUGGACGGGAUAACCGCUGAAAGCAUCUAAGCGGGAAACCCACCUCUAAACCAGAGCUCCCUUGAGAGCCGUGACAGACCAUCACGUCGAUAGGAGGCAUGUGGACGGGCAGCAAUGCUUGAAGCUAAGCCUUACUAAUCGCUCGAUCGGCUUGAUCUC